UAAUAAAAGUGUUUUAUGGCGCUUUUCAAACAAAUCCAUAUCCACCUUGUGUGCAAUGUUAUUUUUUUUUUAAAUAAACACUUUAAUUUUUUAAUUGCCAAUUUAUCUGAAGAUCAGUAUUAUUACGAAUUAACUUAAUUCAAAAUA
RNAcentral lists this unclassified non-coding RNA (147 nucleotides) under soil metagenome. RNAcentral's name for it is "partial internal transcribed spacer 1". The record is from RNAcentral.